CCUACGGGUGGCUGCAGUGGGGAAUUUUGGACAAUGGGCGCAAGCCUGAUCCAGCAAUGCCGCGUGCAGGAAGAAGGCCUUCGGGUUGUAAACUGCUUUUGUCAGGGAAGAAAUCCUCUGGGUUAAUACCUCGGGGGGAUGACGGUACCUGAAGAAUAAGCACCGGCUAACUACGUGCCAGCAGCCGCGGUAAUACGUAGGGUGCGAGCGUUAAGCGGAAUUACCGGGCGUGGAGCGGCCAGAGGGGGCUGACAUCCCCGGGCUCAACCUGGGAACUGCAUUUGUGACUGCAAGGCUAGAGUACGGCAGAGGGGGAUGGAAUUCCGCGUGUAGCAGUGAAAUGCGUAGAUAUGCGGAGGAACACCGAUGGCGAAGGCAAUCCCCUGGGCCUGUACUGACGCUCAUGCACGAAAGCGUGGGGAGCAAACAGGAUUAGAUACCCCUGUAGUC
Molecule: ribosomal RNA, 450 nt
Filed under: uncultured bacterium
Lineage: Bacteria
Description: partial 16S ribosomal RNA
Rfam family: Bacterial small subunit ribosomal RNA
Source: RNAcentral